AAAAUAGGCUGCAAUCAAGUUCACUUCCAAAGGCGGAAUUCAUGGGUACAUAUGGUGUCCACGUGUGUACACCUGCAGAGUUGUAACAUGCGGGCAUUUCUCCCCUCAGCCCGCCAUUCUGGCUUCUUAACUUGCACCCUAACAGCUCGACAGAACCUUGGCGUCCACAAAAAGGACUUGAGGUGGGACAUGGAAGAACAGGGACCCCUCCUGGUUUGUCCACCCAGCCCACACCUCCAUUCCUCACCCAACCUACCACUUCAGAGCCGGGAAAAGACCUCAGAGAACAUCCGCUCCGACUCUACCGAGGCUCAGACAGGACAACAAGAGUGUGCUGGACACUGGGAAAUGUGGUCCAGGAGCAGUCACAGUCCCUAUAGACCUCCCACAAAUUACCGUAAUGCAAAGCAGUGAACACUUGGGAGAGCUCCUUCACUCACCGACUCUCAUCAGGAAAAUAGUGAUAGCAUGAACCCCUCCAGAUGGUUUUAGGAUUAAAAGAGAUACUUGUGCAAAGCCUCAGCAUACGAGUGCUCAGCCCCUGCCGACAUGAGCAAUGGGCAGCGCGUCCAGCUGGGUUCCUGCCCCAUGAGAAGCACACAGCCUGGUUUGGUAGGUGGGGCUCCAUCAGGGCUGUUUGGAUACCUGGGUGGAGCCCACAGACCAGCCCCCACCUUGUGUGGUUAGGGCUUUGCUAGGAAGGCCCAUCUGUGCGCCAUGACCUUGGAACUCGAUGUGAGAUCCCUGGACCGGCAGCAGCACCUGGAAGCUUGUUGGAAAUGCUGAUCUCAGGUGGGACUCCAGAAUUCCCGCAUCUGCACCUGCACUCCCAAAAUACCUCCCCACCAGGUGAUCCGAGGCCAUGGGGCGGUCUGAAGGGCACUGUGCUGGGGCGUCCCACCACUAGAAAUCCAGUCCGGUAAUCUGAAGAUGUAAGUGCCCCCAGGAGGAGUGACGGAGUGACACAAAUGACACAAGGGGAGGGGACUUGUCAGGUGUCCACUCCUGACUGCAAGUUCCCAGGGCAGAAGGCAAUGCCCCCACAGGGACUUUUCCAGACACUCCGAGUGCACCUGAAUUGCAUUUUGAGUGAUGCUGCCUGCUAAGCAGGAAGAGCCCUCCGGAGCCUCGAAAAGCAGAGUGGAAGUGGUGGUGCCCAGGACGCAUGGGCUCUGAUGGGAAGAGGGAGGUGGGCCUGAGCAUGGGCCUUCUUCUCCCCAGGUCAGAGGGGCCUGGAUGCCCCUGGAGGGAACACUGAGGUCACCUCUGGCCAAAUCUUCCUGUUCUGCCAGUACCCAGCCCUGUUCAGUGACGUCAAGCUUUUGGGUCCCUGUCCUGGGGCCCUCCACGCUGGCCGGGCUGUGUAGAGACGCCCUUCUCUCCACUUUAUUGGGUCCAGAUUGUUGUGUGGCUUCUCCCCUCCUCUGCAGCCUGGGGUCUGAAAACAGCGAUGCCAACAGACAGACAGAUUUCCAAAAGAAAGGUCCGGCUCAGCCAAGGACAAAGGGGCCUCGCAGAGGCUCCUGGGGGUCAGAAAGCUGAGAGUCUACCAGGCAGGUGCCUUCUCCACCCACAGGCACAAGCUACAACAGCUUUCCAAGAAGUGCAUCCACAUCGUCCCCAGGUCCAGAUGCCCACAUUGCCCUGCAGGGACCAAGACCACACUCGGGCUGCUUGGACAGGAUGUAGCUGGUCACUGUUCUGGAGCUGGCCCCUCUGUAGCCUGUGACAAUCAGCUUGAGUCUCUCUGCCAAGUCUCCGCCUUCUGUUCUUCUUGCCGACCUUGAAGCAGAGUUGACGUUUCAGGUUUUUCCAGCAGACAAAGCUCACUCAAUCUGAUACUGUGGAGGUUGUUAAUUUAACAACCAACCCAUCCUCAUGUUGAGAAACCAGCUCCAAAUGCUCACCUGGCUGUCAGGGAUGGGGAGCCUCAUGGGUGAAAGAGGGUUGUGAUGGCAUAAUUUAAACCAAAAGAGGCAUUCGCGGUUGCCCGUGUUGCCUCAGGCCUGCUGGCCUCCUGCUGUGAACAUUUUGGGCAAUACUGUCUCUGCCAGUGACCCCCAAUUGUCCACUUGUCUCCAGCAAGAUCGAACCAUGUAAGUGCCAUUUCUGACAAGUUGGGUGAACGUUGGUUUCAAAUCAUCAGCUCUGCAUUCAAGUGCCCUGCUACAAUUCUGGCUCACUCUGUGGGAAUAACUGCCUGCCUGGGCACGUUGCUGUUGCUGCCUCCCAAACGGCAGUUUCUGGGGUCCCAGGUCAUCCAGGCUGGAUGUGGCUUGGGAGAGACCUGUGGCACCAGGUUGGAGGGAGGUCUCACCUCUCCUUUCUGAGCUGUGGACUGCAGCUUCAGGACCCUAUGGAUGAGGCCGAAUGUCAUGAAGAUAAUGGAAUUUGGAGUCUCAACAAAGCCAAGCCACAUGCCAGAGAUUCACCACCUGGGGCCCAGGAUCAGAAGUGUGCCCUUAGGAGGCCAAACAUCCACCUGUCUACCAACUAGACAUUUGGUCUCAGACAGCAAGAAAGGCUGCGUUUAUGUCAUUAGGGGGAACACCACGGUCUUCGGCAUGAGAGAGGUGUAAUUCUCAAGUUCAUCAGAGCUCGGCUUCCCCCAUGAGAGGAAACAAUUUGCCAGGUUGAAGAACACACGCUUUGAGGGUUCUCAGAGGCUGACACCUGUUGUGAAUCUUGGAAACUCAAGCCCCAGUGCAAACGGCCUUGAAGGAGGUCGAGCAUCAUGGUUCCAACAAGUGACUCGCUUUGAUAACCCGAUGUGUAAGCAGAAUCGCAAUGCAUCCGUCCUUCCCUAAUCAUCACGUGGCUGUCAUCUGGUCAAUGAACUGAGGCCCGAAGGCUUGAGUCAAACUGGUUUUCAAGGCUGUGCUCAUGGGAUUUAUAUGUUUCUUGAGCCCUGUUGGAGGCUCUUGGCAGGUCUGAACAUUAAACAUUUCUUUUCUUCCUUUUGCACACUGCUUCAACCUAAAGAGUUGGAGCGAACUAGCUCUAUAUCAUUUCUGUGUUGUAAAUGGGAAAUUAGCUACCCCAUAACUUCCCAUUGUCUCCUGAGAGGUUACAAAUUGUGUUACAGAUAUUAGCAAGUGUUAAUCCUCACGAUGUCCCUGGGAGGGAACCAGAAGUAUCGUAGAUGAAGACAUCGAGGCACAGAGAGGUGAGGCCACUGGGAAGAAGCCACACAGCAUAACAGUGGCAGGUCAAGAAAAGGGCUGGGGUUCUCCCCACCAAUACCAAAUGAUUUUGCUCUGUGGAGUUUGUGUCUCGGUUAGGACAUUGGUGAGCUAUGUCACCUAUGUUUCAGGUGACAGGGACAUCACAACAAAGGUUUGUUGGGUUAACAAUGUCAAGCAUUUCCCUGCCCCAGACCCCAAACUCAUUGCCACACUCCAUACCACUGUCACGGAGUGCAGAUAGUGGGGUUUGGAAUCUCAGUAAAGCCAAACCACAGGCCAGAGAUUCACCAUAUGGGGCCGUCGGUCAUCCCCGAUCCUGUUGUCCCAAUAGCUUUCAUUCUGGUGAUAGGAUAUCUGCAUCUCCUAGAAAUGUGGCUGCUAAGCCCCACUCCUGCACGGAUCAUUCACCGGCUCCCCACUCAGCGUAGCCACUCCUGGGUGGAUCGGCAAACAGCUCUUCAAUACGUCCACCCCCAUGUGUCACAGAGCUUUUCAGGUGGAAGGAUUUUGCAUUCUCCCAAGAGAGAUUCAGUGAGCCAAGUCAGGACCCAAGUUCUCAGUCAAGGGUAAGAUGCUGUAGCCGAGAGUUCCCCAACCCCCGCCCUGUCCGACGUCUCGGCAAGAGGCAGCACUUCCUGCACCCGGCUCUGCCAAUGCACUGGGCGCUGGGGUGUGGGGUUGGGGUCCCCCCUGCUCCCGCCGGAAGGGUGUUUUAGGGAACUGUGGGCCUCCUCCCACCUUGGCAGCUCCGUUUAAGGCUCCAGGGACUGCUUGGCUGCUCCACAGUGACGGUCACUCUGAGGUGGAGCCUGUGUAUCCUGGAUGGAGGCAGGGCCGGACACUGUGACAGGUCCUCUGGGCCCAUCUCCAGCUGAACAGGAAAGUCCAUGGCCCACCCAAGACAGGUGGGCUGGUGUCUUCUCUCUCCUGGGCGCUGUGGAGCUGAAACCGCAGAGUCCAUCGGGAUUUUGCCCAGGAGCAAGGGACAUCCUCAGCCUGCGGCCGCUAUGUACAGUGAGAACGACACCUGGGGCCAUCUGGCUUCUCUUCCUUCCUGGGUCUCUCACGUUGGGUCUGGUGGAGCCACCAGUUCCUUACACGUUGGUGACCUCCAGGCUGUUGUAGCCUUCCAGACGGCACUGUUCCAGCCUGCUCUGGGGGUCAUCGUCUCCGCAAUCUUCGUUUUGAAGAGAGCCAUAGUCAUCAUGGAAAUCGGGAUCUUUGCUGCUGAAGCCCCUUCCUAUCUUCCCCAGGGGCAGCUGAGAAGAGAAGAAUAUGAUCAAAGGACAGGAAGAAGAGAAACAAGAAUUAAGAAUGAAGGUCUGGGAAAUGUCUCCAAUUCUAAUUGCUCUGUGAUUGAGUAACUUACUUAACCUCUGUGUGCUCCUCCUAUUAGUAAUAAUACUCCCUGCUCAGGGAGGUUGAGGGGAGUUUGUGAAUGACCAUUAGGGGAGAGCUUUGUGUCCCCCUGCCCCCGGAAGGAUUCAGUUGGUUACCAAGGGUGAGGACAAAUAUCGUUAGUCUGAUUAUUCCUGAUUCACAAAAGCCUCCUUCUUCCCUCCUUGGUGGGUGGAGAGUUGAGGAAGUGUGUCCUGGAGACUACCUGUGAGAAUGUCUGAGCAGGCCCAUGAGGUCUGACUGCACUCCCAAGUCAAGGAGGAAUAUUCUAGACGGCCUGGUGUGGCAGAAAGAAUGCGAGUUUUGGAGACUCACAGACCCAGGUUCAGAUCCCUGCUCUGCCACUUCCCAGCUGUGUGACCUUGGACAAGUCACUUCCCCUCUCUGAGCCCAUUUUUCUCAGCUACAAAAUGGGAAUAGUAGUUUCUAACUCCCAGGUUUGUUGUAAAAAGUAAAGUCCCACCAGUCUGGCCAACAUGGUGAAACCCCGCCUCUCCUAAAAAUACAAAAAUUAGCCGGGCGUGGUGGCGAGCUCCUGUAGUCCCUGCUACUCAGGAGGCCGAGGCAUGAGAAUCACUUGAACCCAGGAAUCAGAGGUUGCAGUGAGCUGAGAUCGUGCAACUGCACUCCAGCCUGACAGAGACCCUGUCUCAAAAAAAAAAAAGUCAAGUCCCAUCUGCAAAGCACAUAGCAAGUGCUUGCACCGAGUAAGUCCUUGAUGUACUUGAUGAAUAGUGACUAUUAUUAUCACACAUAGUAGGCCUUCAAAAAUACUUCUCUCUUACUGCACACAUCUCUGUGUUAAAGUAGUCACAUUAGUGCUUUGUAACUAUUUAUUUGACUGCCUUUCUUUCCAGACCAGUGUUUCCAGAUCUUCUUUUUUUAUUAUUAUUAUUGCUCCCUAAGGAGACUUUUUAGACAGUUUUUUCCUAAUUGCACCCCUGCUGUGAAAUUGUAAUGCCACAGACAUACUACGCCUCUGCUUCCGUACCAUAUGUACAUUUGUGCUUUUACAUAGAAAGAAUAAGAAUUUUUGCCACCGCCCCCACCCCCCACCAGCGCCAAAACAAAUUUUCACUCCUUUGGGGGGCAAUAUCAGCCCCAAUUACUAGAAUGCACGUUCUAGAAUGGAGCUUCUUAAGGGUAAAGUGGCAAUGUAUUCAUGUUUAUGAAUGAAUGGGGAUCAUGCCUUCUUCAAAUGGAAGACAUUUUGGAUUACCCAGUUCUGCCGUCUCUGUCUGUGCAUUUCCAUUGAGGAAUCUGUGUCAGUUGGAGUCUGUGCAAUCAGACCUGAACUGCACAUGUUUUCAUACUGUUUGGUUGGAGUCACCAGAGGGUUCAUCUUUGCUAUUGGUCAGGUCACUGAAGUCGCAAAUUGAAAUCAGUGAUUGGGGCUCAGAGUUUGGGGCUGCGCCGGAACCCUCUGGGCAGCCUAGCUGAAUGCAGGAUCCCCCUCGCCCCAGAGAACUCCUUUUCCAGGAGACCAAGGUGGGUCCCAGAAUCUGCAAGUUCAGUAAUAGCCCCAGGUGAUUCUCAUGCAGGCAGGUGAGACCUGCACUUUGAGAUCCAGGUGCUACUCGAAGCCCUGCGGGGGCUUUGUGCACUGUACCCAAAGCAUCGUGAAGGUUCCUUGAAGGUACAUCCAGGGCAUCUGUCCUGGAUGCCCCCGUGACCCGGCCUGGCACUCCACCUUCACAGGCCAGCACAGGAGCCACAGAGCUCCCGGGAGGAGAAAAAAAGACCUUUCCCGGGUCUGCAGGACUCACAGGUAAAUCCAUUGAGAGACUUACCCGGCCAGCCUUGUACUUGAGACCGCUGCUGUUCUCCUCCUUUCCUGCCCGCGUGACGCUGGAGGCCCUGCCAGGGGGCGUUCCAAAACGCUCAGCCUCCCGGAUGCCUGUGGAGCUGAAGAGAGGACCAUUUUGAGUCAGCAGGGGAGGCUCAGUCAGCUCCCCAGACACACACACACACACACACACACACACACACACACACACACACAUUGGUGACAAUGACCACAGCUGCUGAGACCGACUGAUUACCUCCCACGUGCCAUCCUUGUGCUCAGCACUUUAUAAGCGUGAUUCUCACAACAUGCCUGGGGCUUGGGACUGCCAGCCCAGCAUUACAGGGAAAGGAGGCCAGAGACAGCAAGCAAUUUGCCCAAGACGACACAGCUGUUAGCGGCAGAAUCAAGAUCUGAACUCAGGCUUCUGACACUCCAAAGUCUUGAUCUUAACUCUUCAGUGUACUGUGAACCUUACUGCAACAGACUCCAGAUGAGAAUCUCAGCAUGGUAGCUAAUUAGUUGUGCUUGGAGAAGCAUGAGGAGUCUCCCCUGCUCUGAAUUUGCAAUCUGUGUCCCCCACCUGGCUUUCUGCCUGAAGCUGCCCCCAUGACUCCCUUCUUUGUGCAAAAGCAUGGAAGCUUCUGUUAGGAUUUGGCCAACUACAGCCUGCCUGCAGGUCAAAUCCAGCUGGCCGACUGAUUUUAUAAAUAAAGUUUUAUUGGAACUCA
Long non-coding RNA from Homo sapiens (human), 7100 nucleotides. Ensembl annotates it as TMEM51 antisense RNA 1. Its record names the gene TMEM51-AS1. Lineage: Eukaryota; Metazoa; Chordata; Mammalia; Primates; Hominidae. The record is from Ensembl.